UGUGGAAGUGUAUUAGGGCCUUGAUUAGGCUUUAAAAAGGAAGAAAAACAAAGAAUAGCAAUUAGGGAAAAACCCAGAAAACAGAGGAGGAAAAAUUCUGAGAAUUCGAGUUUGGUUGCUUAAGAUUGGUUGUCAAUCGAGGGUAAAGGAAGAGAGGUUGUUGCUGAGGAAUCCUUUGAGGAAGGGGAUACGGCCAUGAGCUGAAUCGGACGGUGAUUCGAAGGGCUUGUUAGAACCGUAGUUAGGAGAUCUAUGAAGGACACGCGAGGCGCGUGGGAGGCCGCGAGUGGAAGUGCGACUAUGCACGAAUCAGGCGUGUGAGAAACGAACCCCGAUCUUGUGUUGGCGCGUGAGCAGGUCUAAUAGGAAGGAAUUGUGUUGAAAUACUAUUAAACGUACAUUCAAGGGGGAAAAGGAGUUCGAAACCAAGUAAGUAGCAUAUCGAUCCUUGAACUAGUUCUUAACUUGUUGACAACAUGUGAGUAUGUUGUUUACUUGAUUAAGAGCUUAGUAUGUUAAAAUGAGCUUUGAUGAUAUUGAAUGUUUAUUGUAUAUUGUGACUGCUUGCCUGUGAUGUAAGCAUGAUAUAAAUGAUUGCCAGAAUGUUCUAUGUGUUGAACAUGAUGCAGGUAUGAAAGCAUACAGUAAAUGUGAGUAUGUUAUGCAUGUUAAUGGAAAGGUUAUGACUCUAGGAUAUGCUUAUUGGUUGUUGAGCUAUAGCUUAUUUAUAUGAGUAUGAUAGUCUACUAAUUCCCGCAGAGUUCCUGGCCAACGCGCUGUGUGCUAAGUCAGGGAGCAUGAGUACUCUCCUGACCGUUGGUAUAUGAGAUAAACAGGCCGCCAGAGAAAUUAGUAGACGGGCCGUAUUUGACCGAGAGCAAGUCUUACAUACGAGUCCGAAAAUUCUAGAUAAGCAUAUCAAAAGAGAGUCAAUAACCUAAGCUGGAGGUAGCUGAGAUACCUCAUUAACGAACAGAUGACUCUAGUAAGAGAACUAGGAGUCAAUGAUGAAUAAAACUUAAAGACACAUGGAAAGAUUAGUUAUGAACUCUUGAAUGAUAACCUAGCUACUUA
This is a non-coding RNA of Cucurbita pepo subsp. pepo (vegetable marrow), 1074 nucleotides long. Lineage: Eukaryota; Viridiplantae; Streptophyta; Magnoliopsida; Cucurbitales; Cucurbitaceae. The record is from RefSeq and is a predicted model, not a curated record.